Molecule: ribosomal RNA, 497 nt
Filed under: uncultured bacterium
Lineage: Bacteria
Description: partial 16S ribosomal RNA
Rfam family: Bacterial small subunit ribosomal RNA
Source: RNAcentral
AUUGAACGCUGGCGGCAUGCCUUACACAUGCAAGUCGAACGGUAACAGGUCUUCGGAUGCUGACGAGUGGCGCACGGGCGAGUAAUACAUAGGAACGUGCCUAGAAGUGGGGGAUAACUACCGGAAAGAGUGGAUAAUCCCGCAGGAGAUCUACUGAUGAACGCAGGGAAUCGCAGACCCUUGUGCUAUUAGAGCGCUCGAUGGCAGAUUAGGUAGUUGGUGGGAUAGAAGCUUACCAAGCCGACGAUCUGUAGCUGGUCUGAGAGGACGAGCAGCCACACUGGGACUGAGACACGGCCCAGACUCCUACGGGAGGCAGCAGUGGGGAAUUUUGGACAAUGGGCGCAAGCCUGAUCCAGCAAUGCCGCGUGCAGGAUGAAGGCCUUCGGGUUGUAAACUGCUUUUGUACGGAACGAAAAGCCCCGGGUUAAUACCCUGGGGUCAUGACGGUACCGUAAGAAUAAGCACCGGCUAACUACGUGCCAGCCGCCGCCGAA